Molecule: non-coding RNA, 863 nt
Filed under: Scyllarides squammosus
Lineage: Eukaryota; Metazoa; Arthropoda; Malacostraca; Decapoda; Scyllaridae
Source: RNAcentral
AGUUUAUGGGGCAUGAGACUCAUAAGUUUGACUCUUGCUUUGUUUUUUGUUAUUAGGUUUAUAAAAUAUAUGCAAAUUUUGGUCUGAAAAGCUCUAUUGGAUAAUUUAAUAUUUGGAGGCAAAUAACCAGGAAAGUGUAUUUAUGAUAGCUUGAGCGGCAGUAUUAAGGUUUUGAAUGGUUAGCGAGAGCUAGAGCAAGUAAAAUAAUAAGGCCUGGUUAAACUUUGUGCCAGCAGCCGCGGUUAGACUUACAGGCCAAAUAAAAAUGGGUUAGCAGAUAGUUAAUGGGGAAUGUACUCUUAUUGUAUUUUACUAUGUUGAAAGGUGAAAUUUAUAGAUAAUUGGUACGUAAAAAAAUGUAAGCGUAUAUUGAUAAUGAGGCUAUUAAAAUAUAGAGAUAGACCAGGAUUAGAUACCCUGUUAUACUAUAGUUAAAAAAUUUGGUUACAGCUAGAGUAGUAAGAAUAAAUUAGUUUAAAAUUCAAAGAGUUUGGCGGCAUUCUAGUCCGGUUAGAGGAACCUGUUCUGUAAACGAUAGUCCUCGUAAAAUCUUUCUUGCUUUUGUUAAGUUAGUAUACCUUCAUUAUUAGAUAAUUUUCUGACAUAAAUUAUUGUAAUUGAUUAAAAUCAAGGAUAUUAGAUCGCGGUGCUGCUGAUAAGCAAGUAUUAAUGGGUUACAAUGAGAUUGAGUUAAACGGAUCUAUCAAUGAAAAAGAUAGUAAAGGCGGAUUUAAUUGUAAUGUAGGUUUAAUAAGCUUGCUUGAGAUAGGCUCUAGAGUGUGUACAUAUUGCCCGUCGCUUUCAUUAUUUAAAUGAGAUAAGUCGUAACAUAGUAGGUGUACUGGAAAGUGUACCUAGAAAGA